UACGUAGGUCCCGAGCGUUGUCCGGAUUUAUUGGCCGUAAAGCGAGCGCAGGUGGUUUAUUAAGUCUGGUGUAAAAGGCAGUGGCUCAACCAUUGUAUGCAUUGGAAACUGGUAGACUUGAGUGCAGGAGAGGAGAGUGGAAUUCCAUGUGUAGCGGUGAAAUGCGUAGAUAUACGGAGGAACACCGGUGGCGAAAGCGGCUCUCUGGCCUGUAACUGACACUGAGGCUCGAAAGCGUGGGGAACAAACAGG
Molecule: ribosomal RNA, 252 nt
Filed under: uncultured bacterium
Lineage: Bacteria
Description: partial 16S ribosomal RNA
Rfam family: Bacterial small subunit ribosomal RNA
Source: RNAcentral